Molecule: unclassified non-coding RNA, 1199 nt
Filed under: uncultured Bordetella sp.
Lineage: Bacteria; Pseudomonadati; Pseudomonadota; Betaproteobacteria; Burkholderiales; Alcaligenaceae
Description: partial 16S-23S ribosomal RNA intergenic spacer
Rfam family: Bacterial small subunit ribosomal RNA
Source: RNAcentral
CCGUAGCUGGUUUGAGAGGACGACCAGCCACACUGAUUCGAGACGGCCCAGACUCCACAGGCAGUGGGGAAUUGGACAAUGGGGAAACCGAUCCAGCCAUCCCGCGUGUGCGAUGAAGGCCUUCGGGUUAAAGCACUUUUGGCAGGAGAAGAAACGGCACGGAUAGUCACCUUGUGCAACUGACUUGGUAUCUUCGCGUGAAUAAGCACCGGCUAACCACGCGCCAGCAGCUGCGUGGUAAUACGUAGGGUGCAAGCGUUAAUCGGAAUUACCGGGCGGGAAGCGCGGUGCGCAGGCGGUUCGGAAAGAAAGAUGUGAAAUCCCAGAGCUUAACUUUGAACUGUAUUUUUAACUGUUUAGAGUGUGCUCGAGGGAGGGAAUUCCGCGUGUAGCAGUGAAAUGCGUAGAUAUGCGGAGGAACACCGAUGGCGAAGGCACUCCUGGGAUAACACUGACGCUCAUGCACGAAAGCGUGGGGAGCAAACAGGAUUAGAUACCCCGGUAGUCCACGCCCUAACGAUGUCAACUAGCUGUUGGGGCCUUUCGGGCCGGUAGCGCAGCUAAUUGCGUGAAGUUAAUCGCCUGGGGAGUACGGUCGCAAGAUUAAAACUCAUGGAAUUGACGGGGGACCGGCACAAGCGAAAAUGAUGAUGCGACGACCUGAUGCAACGCGAAAAACCUACCUACCUUUGACAUGUCUGGAAUCCCGAAGAGAUUUGGGAGUGCUCGCAAGAGAACCGGAACACAGGUGCUGCAUGGCUGUCGUCAGCUCGUGUCGUGAGAUGUUGGGUUAAGUCCCGCAACGAGCGUAACCCCGUCAUUAGUUGCUACGAAAGGGCACUCUAUCGAGACUGCCGGUGACAAACUGAGUGAAGGUGGGGAUGACGUCAAGUCCUCAUGGCCCUUAUGGGUAGGGCUUCACACGUCAUACAAUGGUCGGGACAGAGGGUCGCCAACCCGCGAGGGGGAGCCAAUCCCAGAAACCCGAUCGUAGUCCGAUCGCACUGCAACUCGACUGCGUGAAGUCGGAAUCGCUAGUAAUCGCGGAUCAGCAUGUCGCGGUGAAUACGUUCCCGGGUCUUGUACACACCGCCCGUCACACCAUGGGAGUGGGUUUUACCAGAAGUAGUUAGCCUAACCGUAAGGAGGGCGAUUACCACGGUAGGAUUCAUGACUGGGGUGAAGUCGUAACAAGGUAG